CCGCGUCCCCGCAAGGCCGCAACUCCCUGCUCUCUCCUCCUCUGCCACGGUCGGCGGCUGCACGCCUGCACCCUUCCGUGGCCUCCGGUUCCCUUUGCAACUGCUAGUCCUGUCCCUCCUUCGUCGUGGCCUCAAGCCCUCAAUCGAAAUCGAAGAGAUCGUACAGUACCAACGAAGAGGGGGGACAGGCCGUCGGCGUCGUGUUUUGCUGCUCGCCCUCGUUCGCGGAUUCGAGGUCUUAUGCUUCGAUUUGAUUUCUUACAUGAGGAAUUGGAGAGCCGUGAUUGCUGCAGGUGUCUGCACAUUUCGACUGGAUAGUUAGGUGCUAGUGCUCCCCUCCACCUAUGUAUAUCGUUAUACAAGUUCUUUUACUGAAUGAAUUGCAGUAGCUGGAUGGAUGGCUACAAUAGAUACGCCACAGCCUAACGGAUCAGUUCCCACUGUUUAGUUUCACCGUCAGGUUUUGAUCCAAGGCGUGAAAAAUGGUUCUGUCGAAUAUAAAGGAGUUAAAAAUUGUCUGACUGAGUUUUAUAUGGACAGAUCCUAUUACAGAACGUCUAUUCAUGAGCAGAAGAACUUCUAGCACCUUCCAUCGAUCAAAGCAAUAUAGGUGCCCCAAUGACGAACUUAAUUAUUAAGUUCUGAACUGUACUCGCUUCUCCAUCAGCCAAACAGUGGGAGAAACUACGCGAGCUACCAAAUGCACGCCAGCAUACAGCUGAAAACAACUUCGAUUCUUCUUGGGGUGCUAAUGCCUUCUUCACAAUCAGGAGAUGCAGGCAUAUUGUCGAUUACACAUGCUUAAUCUGCAUAAAGUUCUGCUUCAAGCACAUAGUCAGGCAAUACUGCAAGAGCUACUCAGCUGGUCUGAAGCAACAGAUGCCUACAUUACAGGGACUUGGUCACCUGUGAACUCGAGCUCCUUCAAUCUGGGAAGUUCGUCGAUGCCAGAGAGAGAUGUGGAAGAUGACCAUACAAUCUUCUCGAGCCUAGGAGCAGAUCCACAGGUGAAGACAAUCUUGGUGAUGGCCGAGCAGUGAACUUCAAGAAGAUUGAGCCAUAAAAACUCAUCUUUUUCUAAUGUUAUCGCAUUCUGUGUUGCACCAACAGAAUGGAGCACUAGAGAGCGUAUAUUUCUUUUAUUGGCGAGCAGUUGUAGCGCAUCUUGCUCUAGCAUUGUACCACGAAGAGUCAGCUUCGCUAUUUGUGUUGCAUUGUCAAAUGAUGACAACAAACUGCCGCCGAAGCUGUUGUUCAACUCAAGUUCUUUCAAUUUAGGAAGACAGUCAACUCCAGAAAUAGAACAUAUGCUGCUGAUAGACAAAACCAUCUUCUCGAGCUCACUGGCUGCUCCAUUCUCAAAAGUGAUAUCAGUCAAGUUUGAGCCCUCAACAAGAAGGUACUUGAGGCAUUUGAAUUCACCGCCCGUGAACUUCAGAGUACGCUCGGUGCAUACAAUGUGUUGGAGCCUGAAACACCGUAAUUUGGGGAGCUUGCCAAGGAUUUUAAGAUCAUCUUGGCUCAGCACAGUGUAGCAUAGAGUUACCUUGGCAAGUUUGUUUUUAUCACCUUUUAUGUACAAUGGAAGAAGACGCCCCUUCUGUGUGGUUCCCCUGAUGCUUAGACUCUCAAGAAUCUUGGGGCAGUUUUUUAAGAGAGAGCCAAUGUCAUCUGGUAACUCUGCACCGGAAGAAGUACCCUCGUGUUGUGUGGCUGCGGGAGUAGUAGUGAUUGACAGAGAACGGAGGCACUCAUGUAGGUCACUGAUCGUCUGAAGAAAAUUCUUGAGGUGACUGUCCUUAUCAUCGAUAACCACACCUAGCUUCCUCAGCUGCCAUAGCUUUCCAAUAUCUUUUAAAUCAUGACUCUGCUGGGCCUUGACAUUGGAUAGCACCUCCAUAUUUACCAUUUUGUCGAUCCUAUGAGGAAUCUGGCCACUAGAGCCAAAAUUGCUUGGAUUCAGAUCGAUGUGACCAGCAAGCAGACGCUUCAGCUUCAAGAGCAGGAUAUUUGCUGUUGCAUGUGGAGGUAUCUCAGUUUGUCGGAUAUCCAAUACCUCUAGCUCGCGGAGGUUGUUGAUUUCACUGGGUAGCUGGGUAAUAUCUGUUCUCCUCAGGCUCAGAUACUUGAGAAGUAACAUCUUGUUGCAGAUGUCCUUGAGGUACCGCUGGUUCUUCUUCCCAAGAAAACACCGGCAACCUUCUAGAUCUAGCACCUUGAGCAGGGAUAGUUGAGACGAGUUAGAGAGCCCCUGGAAGAAUUUAUCAAUUCUAUCAGAGCUGCGGAGUUGGAGAUCGUUGAAAAUGGAGAAAUGGCGAGCCAAGUGAUGCGACAGGCGUGUCUCCACGAUGUGUUGUUUUCUUGCGAUGGUGGUAAUGAAUCCAUGAACUGGAUCAUCUAUGACGCAACUCUUUACAUUUCCUGUGGCACCAACAUCAGCAGGAUAAACAAGGCACCGGCUAACAAGUGCGUCAAAACAUCGGUUGGCCUGACGGACAGAACUCGGCCAAUCUUCCUUGGAUGUCAGACCUUCUGCAACCCACCGUCCAAUCAAGGUUGACCGCCUGAUCUUGUGUCCGGAAGGGAAGAUAGCUAGGUACAGCAAGCAGGACUUGUACUCUUUAGGCAAAUCAUUGUAAGAGAACUUGAACAUCACCUUAGCAAUGUUGUUGAAUGAUGUUGUUGGCAAAGCCUGCAGGGUGCUGUUCAGCUUGAGUAACUCCUCCUCGCUCCUCUUGGGGUUAGCAUACAUAGCAUGAGUGAAGAUCUUCAUGCAGAAUUCAUGUGGCUCACACUCGUACAAGAUAUCAUGAAAUAUUUGUGGGUUAUAGAUGUCUCCAUUCUUCAGUUGGCCAGUAAGCUUGAGCACUGUAUCAUUGUAGAGGCCAGCAAGAGAAUAGUCUAUAGGUUCCCUCUGUGGGUAGCAAUAUUCUUUAGCCGUCUGGAUGUCCUUUGUGGCGGUGACGAUCAUUAAAUCAGCGCUGCAGUUUAACAGGCUCAAAGCAUUUCUGGUAUCCUCCCAUGCGGAAGCAUCCAUCAGCUCAUCAACUUUGAGAAUAAUCAAGGGACAUUCACAUUUACGCUGGGAAGGAAGAUAAUUCAAGUUCCUUUUAAUCCUGUCCACGAGACCUUUGAUCUUGAGCUGCUCUUUGAACUCGUGCUUCAUUUUGUCCAUCAUUUGACCGAUUUUUUCG
Molecule: long non-coding RNA, 3194 nt
Organism: Lolium rigidum
Lineage: Eukaryota; Viridiplantae; Streptophyta; Magnoliopsida; Poales; Poaceae
Exons: 3
Source: RefSeq, a predicted model, not a curated record